UGGGGAAUAUUGGACAAUGGGCGAAAGCCUGACCCAGCCAUGCCGCGUGUGUGAAGAAGGUCUUCGGAUUGUAAAGCACUUUAAGUUGGGAGGAAGGGCAGUACGCGAAUACCUUGCUGCUUUGACGUUACCGACAGAAUAAGCACCGGCUAACUCUGUGCCAGCAGCCGCGGUAAUACAGAGGGUGCAAGCGUUAAUCGGAAUUACUGGGCGUAAAGCGCGCGUAGGUGGUUCGUUAAGUUGAAUGUGAAAGCCCCGGGCUCAACCUGGGAACGGCAGCCAAAACUGGCGAGCUAGAGUAGGGCAGAGGGUGGUGGAAUUUCCUGUGUAGCGGUGAAAUGCGUAGAUAUAGGAAGGAACACCAGUGGCGAAGGCGACCACCUGGGCUCAUACUGACACUGAGGUGCGAAAGCGUGGGGAGCAAACAGG
This 429-nucleotide ribosomal RNA is filed under the name Pseudomonadota bacterium. RNAcentral's name for it is "Proteobacteria bacterium partial 16S ribosomal RNA". It matches the Rfam family "Bacterial small subunit ribosomal RNA", at positions 355 to 776 of the family's 1533-position model. The record is from RNAcentral. Lineage: Bacteria; Pseudomonadati; Pseudomonadota.